Molecule: ribosomal RNA, 269 nt
Filed under: uncultured prokaryote
Description: partial 16S ribosomal RNA
Rfam family: Bacterial small subunit ribosomal RNA
Source: RNAcentral
UACGGAGGAUCCGAGCGUUAUCCGGAUUUAUUGGGUUUAAAGGGUGCGCAGGCGGGAGAUUAAGUCGGCGGUGAAAUUUUGCAGCUCAACUGUAAAAGUGCCAUUGAUACUGGUUUUCUUGAGUGUGGAUGAAGUAGGCGGAAUUUGUGGUGUAGCGGUGAAAUGCAUAGAUAUCACGAGGAACUCCGAUUGCGCAGGCAGCUUACUAAACCAUAACUGACGCUCAGGCACGAAGGCGUGGGGAUCAAACAGGAUUAGAUACCCCGGUA